GACGAACGCUGGCGGCGUGCUUAACACAUGCAAGUCGAACGGUGAAGCGCUUGCCUUUUUGGUGGGUGUGGAUGAGUGGCGAACGGGUGAGUAACACGUGAGUAACCUGCCCUCUUCUUCUGGAUAACCUCAUGAAAGUGGGGCUAAUACGGGGUAUUCCGGGUCUGUCGCAUGGCGGGUUUGGGAAAGAUUGCGCCUUUGGGUGUUUUCGGUGGGGGAUGGGCUCGCGGCCUAUCAGCUUGUUGGUGGGGUGAUGGCCUACCAAGGCGGUGACGGGUAGCCGGCCUGGGAGGGUGGACGGCCACAGUGGGACUGAGACACGGCCCAGACGCCUGCGGGAGGCAGCAGUGGGGAAUAUUGCACAAUGGGCGCAAGCCUGAUGCAGCGACGCCGCGUGAGGGAUGGAGGCCUUCGGGUUGUGAACCUCUUUCGCCAGUGAAGCAGGCCUGCUCCUGUGUGGGUGGGUUGACGGUAGCUGGAGAAGAAGCGCCGGCUAACUACGUG
This 504-nucleotide ribosomal RNA is filed under the name uncultured bacterium. RNAcentral's name for it is "partial 16S ribosomal RNA". It matches the Rfam family "Bacterial small subunit ribosomal RNA", at positions 28 to 507 of the family's 1533-position model. The record is from RNAcentral.